UUGCAGGACAAAACGCAUGGCGUUUUGAACAGCGCUUGCGCUGGCCCCGAAGGGGCGAAGCCGCAGGCUGAGUCACGCGGCGAC
This is a small RNA of Brenneria goodwinii, 84 nucleotides long. It matches the Rfam family "Aggregatibacter sRNA 22". The record is from Rfam. NCBI's taxonomy places the organism in Bacteria, Pseudomonadati, Pseudomonadota, Gammaproteobacteria, Enterobacterales, Pectobacteriaceae.